This 2012-nucleotide unclassified non-coding RNA is filed under the name Hevea brasiliensis (rubber tree). Lineage: Eukaryota; Viridiplantae; Streptophyta; Magnoliopsida; Malpighiales; Euphorbiaceae. The record is from RNAcentral.
AAGAAAAGUGUUAUGGUCCUCAGAUUUAUACUCACUAAAGUACAAGAUAACCAAAAGAUACAUUUGUGAUCUUGUAAAUAAGCAUGUGCCUGAACUUUAAGCAUUAGAAAAUGAGGAUCACUCUACAAACCAAAAUCCAUGCUUGGGAAAACCAGAUUGAUUUCUGAAACACGCUAUCUUAAAAUCACAGGCUAAAAUUGAAGACACAGAAUGGAACUGGAGAUAGAAAUGGGAAGACAGAUAAUAAAUGAGGGAACUUCAAUACCUAGAGGCUCUUAAUGCCUUCUGCACUGCAAAAUUCCCAUAAACAUGGAGUAACAAAAAGUAUCAGUAGCCAAUUAAACCCUUAAUUACACAAGGCACAGAACACAUAAUAUUGAAGCCAUGAAAUCUUGAGAUUAUUGAAUGUAAGGAUGGAAACUCUGGGAUGGGUGUGACCAAGGGUGUAAAUGGGUGCUGAAAGCUUGUUGCCUUUGUCUGGGAUCGAAACCCAUCAGCUUAGUCUCAGAUUGAAACCUUGUCACUGGCGUGUAGGAAUCUGAGACACGGCGCACUCGAGGGUCAAAACUUGCCUUGUCAUUUGUUUUGUAAGCAUCUCCUGAAACUCUUACAGCCUUAUGACUGUUACACCCCAACAAAAUGCUGGAGCGGCGCCCUGGGGUGUCUUUGCUGGUCUCAGAUUUUGCAUUUACAGUUGUAGGAAUGGUUUUGAUUGGACUUGGCAGUGUUGUAGGUGGCCUUAGCUCUUCAUAAUCGGACAUUACAGAGAAAUCAGCAGCACUGGCAGUGACCACACUCCACUCUAUGCUAGCCUCGCUUGGUGCAUAGCAAGUUGUUGGGGUGAGACAGCCAGAGGUGGCAUUUGACCCUUGUCUUGCAAGAAAUGGGGUGAAUUUGCCAGUGUGACUCUCAAUCUCGAAUAAGUCUGAACUUGCAUCACUCUCAUUAUCAUUGUAAACUGCACCUGAUGUAGCGGAAUAAUCGAUUUCCUCCAUUCUUGGAGCUGCUUCCCAAGAAAACAUGGAUAGCCUCCUCCCAAUUCUGAAGGACUUGCUUCUCUUGUCAUGUACUGGGGAGCCAUAGACCUCUAGUGAUUUCCGUGGAUUUACUUCUUCCUCCUGUCGAAGUUGCAAUUUUUUGGGAACACUUCCUGCUUCAGAAUUUGAAGUUGGGAAACUAAAACAGUUUUCCUUGUUCAUUCCAAUUCCCCACUUCUCCAAAUUCUGGCAAUUGAUAUUCUCCUCCUUGACCCGUGAUCCUGAUCGUGGUUUAUGAUCCAGAUCAAGACUAGACUUUGAGAGUUCUUCUGUAAUUGUCUUCCCUUCAAGCAUAGCAGCAUUAGGACUUUUCUUGAAACUGAUCUCACCGAUGUGUUCAUCAUCGCCAUCAAUAGAAUCCUUGUGAAAACAAGAACAUUUGCAGCCAAGACCAGCAAGAAAAUUCUUUCCAACCUUUCUAUGCACCUUGUCUUUCUUUGUUUCUGAAGUGUUUCUCUGAACGCAUUGCAGCAACGCACUCUGGCUGUUCCAACUGGAUUCAGAACGAACACUUGGAGUUGCAGGAUGACCUUUGGGUUUUACAGGAACCAUAUGAUCAUUUAAUUGCUCAUCUUUCUUAGGCUGCAGAUUGUACUUUCUUGGGAUUAUACUGGAAAUUCUUGGACUGUCCUCAUCUAUGCAUCCAUUGAAGUAUUUUUCAGCACCAAAUAUACCAAUUUCUCCAUCUUCUUUCUUUUUUCCCAAGUAAUGAUGCUCCUUUACAUCCUGAGCACCAAUGUUUCGAUUCGAUUCUGCAAGUUUCCGAACGAAGGUUUCAUCCGAGUUGCUCAACAAGGAAGAGAAGGAAAAAUCAAGGAGGUUUUUACUGCUGUUUUCCAAGGGCAAUGCUUGUGUAAGGCUAGCGACUGAUGUUAAGGUGGCCAUAGCCAUGACGUCUUGCAAGUAAAUUUUGCAGCACACAAUACAAACGAAAAAAAGAAGAGAAAGAAGAAAGAAAAUGACGGUAGAAAGUAA